This 63-nucleotide microRNA precursor is filed under the name Eisenia fetida (common brandling worm). RNAcentral's name for it is "Efe-Mir-1993-P2_pre stem-loop". Lineage: Eukaryota; Metazoa; Annelida; Clitellata; Crassiclitellata; Lumbricidae. The record is from RNAcentral.
UCGGAAAUCGCGGCAGAAUACCUUGCUAAUUGGAUAUCGGUAUUAUGCUGUAAUUUCGCGAGU